CACUCAUGACUCACCAGCCGAAUCCUAGGAAGUCUGGAGAAAGAGAAGUCUGCAUAAUCUCCAUGUUUGGAAAGCAUUGCUUUUACAUCUAUGCUGCUGCUGCUAAGUCGCUUCAGUCGUGUCCGACUCUGUGCGACCCCAUAGACGGCAGCCCACCAGGCUCCGCUGCCCCUGGGAUUCUCCAGGCAAGAACACUGGAGUGGGUUGCCAUUUCUUUCUCCUUUACAUCUAUAAAUUUGACUAUAUAUAUAUCAAUUUACCUCCAAAAUUAUGAUGUGCAGUACUUUUAUGAUCUUUUAACUAUAUUUCAUAAUUUUAGCCUUUGA
Bos indicus x Bos taurus (hybrid cattle) is the source of this 326-nucleotide long non-coding RNA. Lineage: Eukaryota; Metazoa; Chordata; Mammalia; Artiodactyla; Bovidae. The record is from Ensembl.